UACGUAGGGAGCAAGCGUUGUCCGGAAUCAUUGGGCGUAAAGCGCGCGUAGGUGGCCUCAUAAGUCCGCUGUGAAAGUCAAAGGCUCAACCUUUGAAAGCCGGUGGAUACUGUGAGGCUAGAGUACGGAAGAGGCGAGUGGAAUUCCUGGUGUAGCGGUGAAAUGCGUAGAUAUCAGGAGGAACACCUGUGGUGUAGACAGCUUACUGGCCCGAUACUGACGCUGAGGCACGAAAGCGUGGGGAGCAAACAGG
RNAcentral lists this ribosomal RNA (253 nucleotides) under uncultured bacterium. RNAcentral describes it as "partial 16S ribosomal RNA". It matches the Rfam family "Bacterial small subunit ribosomal RNA", at positions 524 to 776 of the family's 1533-position model. The record is from RNAcentral.